AUUUUAUCUGAAAUGCAACUAUUAAAAUAUUGAUAUAGAGGGAAGCAUAAAUUACGCAUGAUCCUAAUAUAUUAAAGAAUAAGAGUACCGAUCAAUUUCCUUUCGUAUUGGUUGAAACAGUCGUAGCUGUUGCUUACAAUAUUGUUGGGAAUCGAUACCAUGUGGGUGGUAAGAGAUCGUAUGAAGUUAUGAAAAAAAGUAUUCAAUAAGCAGCAUAGAUAUAUUACAAUGCGUUAUAUAGAACUGGAUAAUUUGAGUAUGUAGCGGGUUUUGGAGAUAAAAGCAAUAGUAUUAAUUAGCAUUUUGAAGUUUCGUUUAUUCAUUUGUAGAGAUUUUUCAAAUCUAGAAAAAUUUAAAGAUCUCUUAAUUUUGUAUCUUUUUUUUUUUUUUUAUCAGUUUGAUAGAAUGUUUGUAUGUAAUUCUUUCUAAUAACAUGCGACGUUUGUUGUGCCCCU
Non-coding RNA from Schizosaccharomyces pombe (fission yeast), 455 nucleotides. The record is from the annotation of a GenBank genome assembly. NCBI's taxonomy places the organism in Eukaryota, Fungi, Ascomycota, Schizosaccharomycetes, Schizosaccharomycetales, Schizosaccharomycetaceae.